GAGGGUAUAGCUCAGUGGUAGAGCGCAUGCUUAGCAUGCACGGAGGUCCUGAGUUCAACCCCCAGUACCUCCA
Molecule: transfer RNA, 73 nt
Filed under: Camelus bactrianus (Bactrian camel)
Lineage: Eukaryota; Metazoa; Chordata; Mammalia; Artiodactyla; Camelidae
Also listed under: 3 other names
Rfam family: tRNA
About the family: Transfer RNA (tRNA) molecules are approximately 80 nucleotides in length.
Source: Rfam by way of RNAcentral